Molecule: long non-coding RNA, 1922 nt
Filed under: Eptatretus burgeri (inshore hagfish)
Lineage: Eukaryota; Metazoa; Chordata; Myxini; Myxiniformes; Myxinidae
Description: lncRNA (ENSEBUG00000017367.1)
Source: RNAcentral
CACUGUACAGGACAGUGUGGACGAUAUGGAGGUAGCUGUUACGGAUACCUGGAAAAAAAAAAAAGGCCAAAAACGGUCAAAUGUUGAUGCCUUUGAUUCGAAGGAGCAGAAUUAGGUCCAGAUCGUGUCAGGCUCGGCGGACCCUCGAGGAACGUCUGACAUUGGAAACCCUUUGGUGGUGCCGGAGUCGUGUGCGGAUGUGGAAACUUCGCUUGUUCCACUGGCCGACUCCGAGCGGGACACAGAGAACGGUCCAACUUGUCUGUUUAUUUGUUCAUCUCUUCAGACGUUGAUGGAACUCCUCUAUUUACUUUUCUUUCCAAGCCUUCAAGUUAAUCAGCCACCUUUUGAUUUUACCAAGGAAUGAGACUUUCCAAAAGCAUCGGCCUCACCUGGGGCUUCUUGACAUUGCUAGGUCUUGCUUUGGGGGAAACCACAUCGAAGGGUGAUCCUUCUAUGUGUUCAUGGUUUUCAACUAUUCGCAGGCAACGUGUAAGUAAUAUACCUGUGGCUGUAGUUGGAGGCUUACAAACUUUAACUCCUUCAUACAGGUUUUGGAAAAUGCUCCGCAUGGUAGCGUACAGUAAGCAGCCAAGUGCCAGGCAGAAGUGUGCUAUGGUGGCCCGUAGACCAGCACGAUCAGUGGGUCCCAGCCUUGCAGUGAUACGGACAUUCUGGGACUCCAAGUCACCAAAUGCACCUCGUCCACCUCUUUAUGAAUAUCGCCACCCAAAGGAAGACAAGUCGAUGAUGUAUUUUCAGUUGCCGGAUGUGUGGCUCACUGAGAUGACCCCUUUGAGAGAAGGGUAUGGGAGCGAUUCCAUCAUCUGGGGACCCACUGCUACAGCUGAAUAUCCUACUGCCUCUCGUGCAAGCCCAACAGUUAACCCGCAGGACACAACGGGCCCAUUUCCUGUUGACAACCCUGAAAUGGUUAGCCAAGAUGAUGAGAUGGAGGGGAAUCGUCCAAGCAUCAAUCCCACAACUCCACUACCACCAUCACCAGUAUUGCCAGAUUGGAGGCGUCACACAGAUUUGAAUGUGAACGACUCUAAUAAGGCUGUUGGUGUUCGAGGGUGGUGGAGCGGACAGAGUGGUUACACGUACCAAAAAAGCAGGGGCUCGUUUGUCGCUCCCACUCUGACCUGCCUUGACUCACUGGCAGCUUGCACAGAGAGCCAGAGCAGCGGACUCACGGCACGGCAAGUUACCACCAUUGCCAGCAUCUGCUCCAUAAGCUUUGUGGUCAUUGCUGCUGCAGUCGUGCUUCGUACCAGCUGGGUUCGGUCACGGAACCAUUUGCGGCAUUCAUUACAACGACGCGACGGUGGUGGCAUUGAGGAGACAUGCCCUGUGACUCUGUCAUCACCAUCCAGCCGAAAGCCGCCAGCUGUGCCACCAAUUUUCACAACAUAUAGUGAUAUUGGUGUGGCGAUGUCACCUCCACAGCCAUCGCAGCCACCAUCCUGUGUCCUCUCAUCACCUGUUAUAAUCACAACAGCAUCCGACAUUGCACCUAGACUGUAUGACGGGAGAAGAAUUCCUCUGUACACUGUCUCCACCACCACUACUGUCGCCUCUGUUGCUCCUACCUUGACAUCGGCUUCAUUUCCACAGCUCCUGCCGGGAAGUCUUCACGGACCACCCAUCGCUAAAACAGCCUACAACGGCAGCAGGUUCGUCGCGCGGACGCGGGGCGGGCGUGGCGCGGCGCUGGGGGGGGCAUCAGCCACAGCCACGACGCCAGCGCGCGUCUUUCGUGCGAGAGCCGAGGUACACUGUGAUCCUGAGCUAACGUAGGCCUGGUGGGCCGGCCAGCCGCAACGAAGCGCUCCUGGCCAGGUGAGGCCUGCUUCCUGCAUACCCAAUACUGCCUUACUCCCUGCUUCCCAAAAUGAUUUGGUCCUGCUUCAGAAUUUCCA